AUUCCAGCUCCAAUAGCGUAUAUUAAAGUUGUUGCAGUUAAAAAGCUCGUAGUUGGAUUUCUGGCAGGAUGACUUUGCCCUCUGUAGAGUGCGCAAUGCUGUCCUACCAUCCUUCUGUUAACCCUGGAGGCCUUUAACAGCUUGUAGGGGGCUCAGAUAUUUUACCUUGAGAAAAUUAGGGUGUUUCAGGCAGGCUAGCGCCGGAAUACAUUAGCAUGGAAUAAUAGAAUAGGACUUAAGCCUCUUCUGUUGGUCUGAGGGGUGUAAGUAAUGAUUAAUAGGGAUAGUUGGGGGCAUUAGUACUUAACUGUCAGAGGUGAAAUUCUCGGAUUUGUUAAAGACUAACUUAUGCGAAAGCAUUUGCCAAGGAUGUUUUCAUUG
This 381-nucleotide ribosomal RNA is filed under the name Strobilidiidae sp. RNAcentral describes it as "partial small subunit ribosomal RNA". It matches the Rfam family "Eukaryotic small subunit ribosomal RNA", at positions 582 to 975 of the family's 1831-position model. Lineage: Eukaryota; Ciliophora; Spirotrichea; Choreotrichida; Strobilidiidae. The record is from RNAcentral.